This 460-nucleotide ribosomal RNA is filed under the name uncultured Dehalobacterium sp. Its description in RNAcentral is "partial 16S ribosomal RNA". It matches the Rfam family "Bacterial small subunit ribosomal RNA", at positions 341 to 792 of the family's 1533-position model. Lineage: Bacteria; Bacillati; Bacillota; Clostridia; Eubacteriales; Peptococcaceae. The record is from RNAcentral.
ACGGAAGGCAGCAGUGGGGAAUCUUCCGCAAUGGGCGAAAGCCUGACGGAGCAACGCCGCGUGAGUGAAGAAGGCCUUCGGGUCGUAAAGCUCUGUCUUAGAGGAAGAACAUCUGGUGUGUGAAGAAUGCAUCAGACUGACGGUACUCUUAGAGGAAGCUCCGGCUAACUACGUGCCAGCAGCCGCGGUAAUACGUAGGGAGCGAGCGUUGUCCGGAAUUACUGGGCGUAAAGGGCGUGUAGGCGGAGUCUUAAGCAGAGUGUGAAAACUAUGGGCUCAACCCAUAGCCUGCAUUCUGAACUGGGACCCUUGAGGGCAGGAGAGGAAAGUGGAAUUCCUAGUGUAGCGGUGAAAUGCGUAGAUAUUAGGAGGAACACCAGUGGCGAAGGCGACUUUCUGGACUGUACCUGACGCUGAGGCGCGAAAGCGUGGGGAGCAAACAGGAUUAGAUACCCUGGUA